UUUUCCCCAUUUCGGCCAUGCUAACCCUGCCUUCUGAGGUGCUGGCGGUGCCCCAGCUGCGUUGGUGACCUCUUCCUUCGCCUUGUGCUUCCACUGAGCCCCCGGUGUCAGCUGGGAAUGCCCUCAGCAGCAUGUCUAUCAGUGUGCGCUUGUAGUCGCGCAUCUUUCGAUCAUGCUCCAGUGAGGGAAUUAAGGACGGCACGUUGUCCUUGUAAUGGGAAUCCGGCAGGGUGGACACCCAAUAAUCAGCACAAGUUAGAAUGUGGGCAACUCGGCCGCAGGGUUCGAUUCCGGAGAGGGAGCUUGAGAAACAGCUACCACAUCCAAGGAAGGCAGCAGGCGCGCAAAUUACCCACUCCCAACACUGGGAGGUAGUGACGAUAAAUAACAAUACAGGACUCUUUCGAGGCUCUGUAAUUGGAAUGAGUACACUUUAAAUCCUUUAACGAGGAUCUACUGGAGGGCAAGUCUGGUGCAGAGCGACUGACCCGUGCGUGCUGCAGCUGAAACUCCACUAUCGCCUGCUGCUG
Non-coding RNA from Pelobates cultripes (western spadefoot toad), 530 nucleotides. Lineage: Eukaryota; Metazoa; Chordata; Amphibia; Anura; Pelobatidae. The record is from the annotation of a GenBank genome assembly.